Tachysurus fulvidraco (yellow catfish) is the source of this 1740-nucleotide long non-coding RNA. RefSeq lists it as uncharacterized. NCBI's taxonomy places the organism in Eukaryota, Metazoa, Chordata, Actinopteri, Siluriformes, Bagridae. The transcript is spliced from 3 exons. The record is from RefSeq and is a predicted model, not a curated record.
CGUCCACCGCACAAAGAGCACUUUUGUCCUGCCGGGCCUAAGUGCUGUGUUUCCUCCGAGGCACAGGGCUGAAGGAUUCGCUGUGGGAGCGGAUGACAGAUGACCGAUUUCUAGGCCAAAAAAACAAGCGUUUUGUAAUGAAGACAACGAUCUGGACAAGUCUUGGGAAGCUGAAGGCCAAACUCAAGCUUUUGAGGAUUUGUUAUAUAUAUAUAUAUUGGAAAUUAAUACAGUAACUUUAAUAAACAACUACAUCCAAGUCAACUUCUUUCAUCACCAUGUCUCAUGGAGCAGAAAUGCAGUAAGGUUUAGCUCUGGAUUCAUCACCACCUAAAGGAAACAAUGCGGCGGUGCUUUAGUCCUUUAAUCUGUCCGGGACCCUCAUCUCCUCGGCUAAAAUUUCCACAGCUUCACCUUUCAUCUCAGUACCAUCAUCAUCAUCUCGAGCCAAGUUUAUCCUGUAACACCUCAUCAUAUAACUGCAAUGCAUUCUGGGACUUCUGAGUGGCAUCGUUAUUUCCCAUACUUUCUCAUUAAUACAACAUUGAUAAAAGGUCUCUACAAAUUCUAUUAAUGUCCUCCUGCAACGUCAAAGAAUCACACAACCAGUCACCUGUCAUAAUAUUAAUAAAAAUACAGCACUAACUGACAUAUAUUACAUGUGUGAGUGGGAGGAGCAAAAAGACAAUACACAAUAAACAAUGCACAAUUACACAUCCUCAGGGGAGACACCGGAGAAAGUCUGAACAACCUUAAACUCGAUCUAAUAACGUGGACGGUCAAAGACGUGGACCAUAAAUAGGCCCUUCACAAUAAAGUCAGAUUUCACACAGAUGGCAGUAGAAGGAAGUCAGUGGUCACAUAAAGUAGCUGGGGUAAAAACACGGAGACACAAAAGCCGAGACUGGAAGUGAUACGAGCAUGUCAACUGUCUCUAAGCUGAGUCUUGGGAAGGACUGUUUACAGCUGCUAUAAUGUGUGCGUACCUGAGUAGCAGAGGGUCAGAGUGCGUUAGUUUUGCCUGCAAGAUGUGUCGCUACACGCCGCGGCUGCUUAUCGCACCUCAGUCGAGAUACGGACCCUCGGGGCAUCAGUAACAAGACGACGGCUGCUCCUCCUCCUACGCACGGAGACAUGACAGGCAAGGCCUCGUCCUAACACGGCGUUAACUCGCCAGAAAUAUCUGCGAGGGGGCAUUAAAUCUCUAUGUUCGAGGUACAUUUAAUCUCAGCCCUACCUGCAGGCCAGACGUGAGUCAUGCUGUACUGACAGAAUACAAGCGCAGACUGGUAAUGUUGACACUUUUUAUACCUAGUAUUAGGCAAGCAAAUUACAACUGUGAUGUAUUUACUGCGACGAUUAAAGGCCCUUCGCCAAAAGUAGCCUAGAGUAACAGAGUUUACCUGAACGAGACCCUCAAACCCUUUGGCAUCUGGAGCGACUUUAACGUACGGUAAAAGAAAGUACUUUCUAUAUUGUGGAGCAGCAUUUCUUUAAUAAAGUUAACCUUGUAAAUCUGUUCACAAGGGGUCCAGAGAUGUUCUGGAAACUAAUAAAUGUUUUAUUAAACUGAUUGUGAGAGAGUUUCUCGCUCAUCGUCUACCUGACAGCUGAUUACUGAGAUACUGAUCCUGAGACAUCUCCAGUUAGACUCUGUGGUACUCAGGAGAUCCGAAGUCCAUGAACCUUACACCAAUACAACAUUUAUCUGACUGUAUAUUACAAUCACACCCCCAGUGU